AUGGAAGUGUGCGAGAGCCUAUGCUUCCUCUGCCCCGAACUGCGGACCAGGUCUCGCCACCCGGUCAAGCGCUACAAGAAAUUGCUCGCCGAAAUCUUCCCCAAGUCGCAGGAUGAACCGCCAAACGAUCGAAAGAUAGGCAAACUGUGUGAAUAUAUUUCGAAGAAUUCACUGCGUGUACCAAAGAUUACCAUUUAUUUGGAGCAAAAGUUUUUCAAGGAAUUGAGAUCUGAGCGUUUUGGCUCAGUGAAAGUUGUCAUGGCAAUUUACCGAAAGGUGACAUGUUCUUGUCCGGAGCAACUGCCCCUUUUUGCCAAUAGUUUACUGACCAUCGUAGAGACCACAAUGGAGCAAAAUAGACAUGAUGACUUACGGAUAAUAGGGUGUCAAAUGCUUUUUGACUUUGUAAACCACCAGGUUGACAGCACUUACAUGUUCAAUCUAGAGAACCAAAUUCCUAUACUAUGUCAGCUGGCCCAAGAGAUGGGUGAGAAGGAGAAGAUAUCUAGUCUUCAUGCUGCUGCGCUCCAAGCCCUUUCAUCUUUGGUCUGGUUUAUGGGUGAGCACUCCCAUAUCUCUGCAGAACUUGACAAUGUUGUCUCUGCAGUUCUGGAAAACUAUGACAGCCCAUAUGCAAAUUCCGAGACUAACGAUGACACCAUUGAGGACAGAAGGAAUCGCUGGGUGAAUGAAGUUCUCAAGGCUGAAGGUCAUGACCCUCCUGCUGCUACCAUUUUGGCGAGGGUUUCUUCAUGGAAAGAUAUUAGAACUACCAACGGGGCAUUGAAUUUGACAACACAAGAAUCAGCAAGUCCUAAUUUCUGGUCAGGGAUUUGCCUGCACAACCUUGCUAGAAUAUCCAGGGAAGCAACAACCAUCCGGCGAGUUCUGGAGACAGUAUUUCGUUAUUUUGAUACUAACAAUAUGUGGUCACCCUCUAAGGGACUUGCACUGUGUGUCCUUCUGGAUAUGCAGAUUGUGAUGGAGAAAGCUGGACAGAAUGCGCAUAUAUUGUUGUCGAUGUUAGUUAAGCAUCUCGAACACAAGAAUGUAUCGAACCAACCAGAUAUGAUUCUAGACAUCAUUGAAGUUACAGCACACCUUGCUGAGAAUUCCAAAGCUCAAUCUUCUACUGCAAUAAUGGCUGCAAUUAGUGAUAUGGUCAAGCAUUUGGGUAAAAGUAUGCAAGAUGGAAGUCUUGGAGGCGAAAACAAAUGGAACGACAGCUAUCAGAAAGGUGUAGAUGAAUGCAUUAUUCAAAUGUCUAGAAAGGUCGGUGAUGCUGGACCUAUCCUUGAUACAUUAGCUGUAGUACUGGAGAAUGUUUCAAGUACCACACCUGUUGCACGGUCAACCAUUUGUGCAGCAUAUCGUACAGCUCAAAUAAUUGCUUCAUUGCCAAACUUGACAUAUAAGAGCAAAGCAUUUCCUGAGGCAUUGUUUCAUCAACUGAUUAUGGCAAUGGUCUAUCCUGAUUGCGAGACCCAUUUAGGGGCACACCGGAUUUUCUCUGUUGUUCUUGUUCCCUCCUCUGUCGCUCCAUGCUCUUUCUCAGGAACUUCACAGACAAGCAAGGUUAAUCUGCAGAAGACACUAUCCAGGACAUCGUCAGUUUUUUCAUCUUCAGCAGCUUUGUUUGGGAAAUUAAAAAGAAACGUGUCUUCAUUUCGUGGAAGUCCACGGCGGGAAAGCUCAAAUCUAAUGCCCAUCAUCACUGAGGACGCAGAUCAGGGCAGUGAAAAUGAGCCACAAUUGUUCAAGUCACAGACUAUCCAAAGGAUGACUAGUGUAAAAGAUCCUUCUUUACCGUCUGCAACACAAAUAAGUAAAUCAAGUGGACCUGCUCCAGAAACAGAACCAGUCAUCCUGAUACUGAGUGCACGUCAGGCAAAUAUUCUGCUUUCAUCGCUGUGGACCCAGGCAUUGUCACCUGAAAAUGUUCCACGAAACUAUGAAGCAAUUUCACAUACUUACAGCUUGAUGCUACUAUUUUCUGGAGACAAGAACUCACAUCUAGAAAUUCUGGUUGGCAGCUUUCAGCUUUCUUUUUCUUUAAGAAAUAUGUCAUUACAAGCAGGUUUUCUGCCACCAUCACGCAGGCGUUCUCUUUUUACUCUGGCGACGUCUAUGAUUGUGUUCUUUUCGAAAGCUUUUAGUGUUCCAACACUCAUUCCAGUUGUGAAAGAUUUGUUGAUUGAAAGUACGGUUGAUCCAUUUCUUCGUUUAGUUGAUGACCUCAGAUUGCAAGCUCUCGACAGUGGUAUCGAAUCUGUCUUUAGAGACUACGGUUCGAAAGAAGAUAACGAUUUUGCUACGAAAUCCCUCUCUAACAUCAAACUGAAUGAUCAGUCAAAACAAAUAGCAGUUUCUCUUAUUCUUGAGAGCUUGAAGCUAUCUGACCCAGAGUUAUCUACUGUAAGAAACCAGUUGUUUGAGGAUUUCUCUGCAGACGAUGUGUGUCCUAUCGGUUCGCAUUUUAUUGCAUCACCUUCAAAAUCCCCUGCAUAUAACGCGAAGAUGCACCAAAAAUCCUUGGAGGUUAUUCCUAUGGGAUUUAUUUUCGAGGAUGAUACCAUUCCUGAACCAACUGACACCUUAGCAGAACCGACGUCGCGACAACCAUUGGAUAACAGUCUUCUUGAUGUCGAUCAGCUUCUGCAAUCAGUUUCCGAGACAUCUCAGAGUGUUGGAAGAUUGUCCGUGUCAACAAACCAGGGUUUGCCUUUUAAGGAGUUGGCCAGCCAAUGCGAAGCUCUCUUAAUCGGAAAGGAGAAAAAGCUAUCUGUCUGCAUGAGUACCCUUCAACAAGUGGUUGGCACUGGGAUGCCCGAGUCAUCUGAGCCAGAUUCUCCAAUAGCUGGGAUAAUCCUGCACACAGACGAUGACCAGUGCUACUCCAAUUUCUGCAAGCUACCAGUCCUGAAUCCCUAUGACAAGUUCCUCACAUCCGCUGGUUGCUAA
Molecule: ribosomal RNA, 2961 nt
Filed under: Triticum aestivum (bread wheat)
Lineage: Eukaryota; Viridiplantae; Streptophyta; Magnoliopsida; Poales; Poaceae
Description: partial small subunit ribosomal RNA
Source: RNAcentral